CCGGGGCCCCACAUCUCUCAGUCUCAACAGCAGCAGAGCAGGAGCAGCAGACAUGCUGCUGCUGGCAGCUCUGAUGGUUGCAACUGCCUGGUCCUAUGAAUUUGCAUGGAAAGUUCCCAUUCAGAGUCCUCUGUCCAUCACCAAGUCACAAGGCAGUAUACGUCUGCAGUGUCGUUUUGGAGACUUGUUUGAACAUUUUGAUAGCACCGUCAUACACUGGUAUCAACAAAAGGAGAAUAAACCUCCAGAGAGGCUACUCUUCUUUGCAGAAGGGAAAACUACAGUUGAAAGUGGCUUUCAAGGGAACAAGUACAUGGCUGAUGAAGUUUCUAGUCAGAAACUGUCCAUUCUUACGAUAAAUGAUGUAAGUCCAGAUGAUGCUGCUACUUACUACUGUGCCUACUGGGACCCACACCGUGAGAGAUGCUCAGAGACCAUCAAGCCACAAAACUCCUUCAACCACUCAACUUCAGCUUCAGUCUGA
Molecule: non-coding RNA, 484 nt
Organism: Lagopus leucura (white-tailed ptarmigan)
Lineage: Eukaryota; Metazoa; Chordata; Aves; Galliformes; Phasianidae
Source: the annotation of a RefSeq genome assembly